RNAcentral lists this unclassified non-coding RNA (204 nucleotides) under Hevea brasiliensis (rubber tree). The record is from RNAcentral. Lineage: Eukaryota; Viridiplantae; Streptophyta; Magnoliopsida; Malpighiales; Euphorbiaceae.
AAAAAACAUUGUUCAUUUUGGUAUAUGUUUUUAGAAAAUAAUCCUGGAAAGUUUCUUCUUAUAAUCUAAAGAUAGAAGCAGUCAUUUUUUACAGAGUGGAAUAAUUUGAACAAUCUAGAAGUCAUUAGCGGGUGUAUGUUGGAUUUAAGGUGAAGGAGCAUGGUUGCCUUGAUAAUUUUGGCUACACAAGUAGCACUGCAAAAG